AAAGGAUCUCCUUCAUCCCUCUCCAGAAGAGGAGAAGAGGAAACACAAGAAAAAGCGCCUGGUGCAGAGCCCCAAUUCCUACUUUAUGGACGUGAAAUGCCCAGGAUGCUAU
This 112-nucleotide unclassified non-coding RNA is filed under the name Mus musculus (house mouse). Its description in RNAcentral is "partial probably derived from hnRNA or mRNA fragment, protein coding region". The record is from RNAcentral. Lineage: Eukaryota; Metazoa; Chordata; Mammalia; Rodentia; Muridae.